Molecule: long non-coding RNA, 494 nt
Organism: Thamnophis elegans (Western terrestrial garter snake)
Lineage: Eukaryota; Metazoa; Chordata; Lepidosauria; Squamata; Natricidae
Exons: 2
Source: RefSeq, a predicted model, not a curated record
CGCGUCUUGUUCCAGGCGGAGGAGCUGUUCCCGGCUACGGCGCGCACCCGGGCCAGGUAGUAAAACGCGGGCUGCUGAGUUUCGCAGGUCUCCAAUCACCUCAGUUGCUGUCCUCUGGACAUAUUCCAGUUGUCUUUCCUAAAAUUGGCAUCCAGAAUUGGGUGUUAUAUUCUCGCUGCAGUCUGACUAACAAGGCGGGGAAAGAAGGAAUGGCUGCUUUUGAUUUUUGACAAAGAACUCACGUUGAUGCCCCCUAGGAUUGCAUGUGCCACCUUGAUGACUGCAUCCCUCUUAGUGGACGUUCACAAUUUGAUUCGACCAGAACUUCUUCCCAUGAGCUGCAGCCAAAACUGUUGUUCCUCCAACCACAGGCCUUUGGAGAAGAAGAGUUGGAGAAGUUGGGAAUCUUUAACCUGUAGAAUAAAAUAUUAUGGGAUACGUUAUAGUUAUCUCCAAGAAAUCAAAAGAUUGUGAUGUGGAAGAUUGGGUAAAUU